GCUGUCUGAGAAACUCAGAGCCGAGUUCCGGUCGGUGUUCUCCCUGCGAGUCUUGUGCUAGCGCCCUGUAGACCCCUGUGAGGAUGGCUUGCGCAGCCGCGCGGUCCCCGGCGGACCAGGACAGGUUUAUUUGUAUCUAUCCUGCCUAUUUAAAUAAUAAGAAGACCAUCGCAGAAGGAAGGCGGGUCCCCAUCAGUAAGGCUGUUGAAAAUCCUACAGCCACAGAGAUUCAAGAUGUAUGCUCAGCAGUUGGACUUAAUGUAUUUCUUGAGAAAAAUAAAAUGUACUCUAGAGAAUGAAAUCGUGAUGUCCAAUACAGAGGCAGAGUCCGGGUUCAGCUUAAACAGGAAGAUGGCAGCCUCUGUCUUGUACAGUUUCCGUCACGUAAGUCAGUAAUGUUGUACGCAGCGGAAAUGAUACCUAAACUAAAAACAAGGACACAAAAAACAGGAGUUGGUGACCAAAGUCUUCAGCAAGGAGAGGGAAGUAAAAAGGGGAAAGGAAAGAAGAAGUGACCUAGUAUGAGCACCAUUUAUGUGAUAGUACUCCAAGAGACAUGAAUGGAGGCUUCUAAUUUGUAUCUGAGAGAAACAGAAGCUCUUUGCAUUAUUUUACUGAACUAUGCAUACUUAUGCCUCCCAUCAUCAUCAGAGUUGACA
Lemur catta (Ring-tailed lemur) is the source of this 659-nucleotide RNA transcript. It is a transcript of the gene named signal recognition particle 19 kDa protein-like, with no coding region annotated. NCBI's taxonomy places the organism in Eukaryota, Metazoa, Chordata, Mammalia, Primates, Lemuridae. The transcript has a single exon. The record is from RefSeq and is a predicted model, not a curated record.